Molecule: ribosomal RNA, 484 nt
Filed under: uncultured bacterium
Lineage: Bacteria
Description: partial 16S ribosomal RNA
Rfam family: Bacterial small subunit ribosomal RNA
Source: RNAcentral
AAUGAACGCUGGCGGCAUGCCUAACACAUGCAAGUCGAGCGGAAGAAGGGUGCUUGCUCCUGGAUUUAGCGGCGGACGGGUGAGUAAUGCCUAUGAAUCUGCCUGGCAGUGGUGGGUAAUGUCCGGAAACGGGCGCUAAUACUGCAUACGUCCUGAUGGUGAAACUGGGGGGUCUUUGGACCUUUCCCUAUCAGAUGAGUCUAGGCCGGAUUUGCUAGUUGGUGGGGUAAAGGCCUACCAAGGCGACGAUCGGUAACUGGCCUGAGAGGAUGAUCAGUCACACUGGAACUGAGACACGGUCCAGACUCCUACGGGAGGCAGCAGUGGGGAAUAUUGGACAAUGGGCGAAAGCCUGAUCCAGCCAUGCCGCGUGUGUGAAGAAGGUCUUCGGAUUGUAAAGCACUUUAAGUUGGGAGGAAGGGCAGUAAGUUAAUACCUUGCUGUUUUGACGUUACCAACAGAAUAAGCACCGGCUAACUUCGUG